AGGACGAACGCUGGCGGCGCGCUUAAUACAUGCAAGUCGAGCGACGAAAGGGCCUUCGGGCCCCUGAAAGCGGCGAACGGGUGAGUAACACGUGGGUAACCCACCCUCGGUUUCGGGAUAGCCCGGGGAAACUCGGAUUAAUACCGAAUGGCCUCCAAGGUCUACGGACUCUGGAGAAAAGGUAGCUUCGGCCUCCGACCGAGGACGGGCCCGCGGCCGAUUAGCUUGUUGGCGGGGUAAUGGCCCACCAAGGCGACGAUCGGUAGCUGGUCUGAGAGGACGAUCAGCCACACUGGGACUGAGACACGGCCCAGACUCCUACGGGAGGCAGCAGUAGGGAAUCUGCGCAAUGGGCGAAAGCCUGACGCAGCGACGCCGCGUGCGGGAAGAAGGCCUUCGGGUUGAAACCGCGUUUCAGGAGGGACGAAGCCAGUCGGUUAAUGACCCAGAGGUGACGGUACCUCCAGAAGAGCCCCGAUAACUACGUCGACCAGC
Molecule: ribosomal RNA, 495 nt
Filed under: uncultured soil bacterium
Lineage: Bacteria
Description: bacterial SSU rRNA
Rfam family: Bacterial small subunit ribosomal RNA
Source: RNAcentral